RNAcentral lists this ribosomal RNA (1432 nucleotides) under Hygrophorus pudorinus. Its description in RNAcentral is "eukaryotic LSU rRNA". It matches the Rfam family "Eukaryotic large subunit ribosomal RNA", at positions 1561 to 2761 of the family's 3401-position model. The record is from RNAcentral. Lineage: Eukaryota; Fungi; Basidiomycota; Agaricomycetes; Agaricales; Hygrophoraceae.
AUGUGUUGUAAUUAAACACUUGAAUUUUUUUGAACGAAAGGGAAUACGGUUCCAAUUCCGUAACCUGUUGAGUAUCCGUUUGUUAUUAAAUAUGGGCCUUGUGCUCAUCCUGGCAACAGGAACGACCAUAAAGAAGCCGUCGAGAGAUAUCGGAAGAGUUUUCUUUUCUGUUUUAUAGUCGUACUACCAUGGAAGUCUUUCGAAGAGAGAUAUGGUAGAUGGACUAGAAGAGCAUGACAUUUACUGUUGUGUCGAUAUUUUCUCCUCGGACCUUGAAAAUUUAUGGUGGGGUCACGCAAACUUCUCAACAGGCCGUACCAAUAUCCGCAGCUGGUCUCCAAGGUGAAGAGUCUCUAGUCGAUAGAAUAAUGUAGGUAAGGGAAGUCGGCAAAUUAGAUCCGUAACUUCGGGAUAAGGAUUGGCUCUGAAGAUUGAGAUAGUCGGGCUUGAUUGGGAAGCAAUAACAUGGUUUAUGUACUCGUUCUGGGUAAAUAGAGGUUCUUGAAUCUUGUUCCUCGGAUAGUAGUUACGUAACCAAUUGUGGAACUUUCUUGCUAAAAUUUCUAGGGGAUUAUCGCAAGAUAUAUUCUCUUUUAAUUAUAACGACUAUCAAUUAACAAUCAAUUCAGAACUGGCACGGACUUGGGGAAUCCGACUGUCUAAUUAAAACAAAGCAUUGUGAUGGCCCUAACGGGUGUUGACACAAUGUGAUUUCUGCCCAGUGCUCUGAAUGUCAAAGUGAAGAAAUUCAAGUAAGCGCGGGUAAACGGCGGGAGUAACUAUGACUCUCUUAAGGUAGCCAAAUGCCUCGUCAUCUAAUUAGUGACGCGCAUGAAUGGAUUAACGAGAUUCCUACUGUCCCUAUCUACUAUCUAGCGAAACCACAGCCAAGGGAACGGGCUUGGAAUAAUUAGUGGGGAAAGAAGACCCUGUUGAGCUUGACUCUAAUCUGGCAGUGUAAGGAGACAUAAGAGGUGUAGAAUAAGUGGGAGAUAUUGAUCCUUGUGGUCUUUAUCGACAAUGAAAUACCACUACUCUUAUUGUUUCCUUACUUACUUGAUUAAGUGGAACGUGUAUCUUUUCUUAGCCAUUAUACGGAUAUAUUUAUAUAUCUUAUGGUAUUGGGUUUUGAUGCAAGCUUCUUGAUCAAAGUACUAAGAGUUUGUUAUAUAAUCGUAAACAAAUUUUGAUGAGAUGAUGGCAUUUCGGUGUUAUUGUUAAUAUUUGAAAUUUGGUAUAACUCCUAAUACUCAGGUAUGAUCCAAUUCAAGGACAUUGCCAGGUAGGGAGUUUGACUGGGGCGGUACAUCUCUCAAAUAAUAACGGAGGUGUCCCAAGGCCAGCUCAGUGCGGACAGAAACCACACAUAGAGCAAAAGGGCAAAUGCUGACUUGAUCUCGGUGUUCAGUACACACAGGGACAGCAAAAGCUC